AUUAAUAACAUUAAUUACAUGCCCUAAGAAAAAAAAAAAAAAAUACCGCACAAGGAUAACUCGUCGCCGGGUUUUGAAUGCUCGCUGCUGGCUUAAAAAUUUUCGACGUGGAAGCCUCAGUUUGCUCGGCCACGCCACCUCGCUGAAAGACAAUCGCAUAUCCGUGAUAAAGUCUCGCAAUCCAAACUUUAUAUUGUAAUUUCUCAUAAAUAAAGACCCAUUGGCACAAAUCCCAAUUAGGGUGUUGAUGCUUAACAUCGCAGCUAGCGAACGUGCUAUGUCUCGUUCAGAAAUCGAUUUAGAAGGUUGUGGCAUCUCCUUGUAAGAUUAGGAGCCUCCCAUUUUUUAAAUAAAAUACCAUUUUCAAUAAUUAAACUUUUCCAAAGAGAAACAUAGAUCUUAACUGAAAUUCUUGUCUAAAAUUUCCUCCCUCAAAGGACGUCGACCAGACUCAACUCCACGUAAAAUCACCGAAACACUAGUGUCUUCCAUUUGUUUUUUCCACCAAUCUAUUUGACUCUUUUCCCAAAAUUAUUUGAGCUACAACUUUAUCACUAUUCCCUUUACCAGAUUCAAUCCUAGAAUAGUAUUUACAGUACCUUCUUCAAUACAAGGAUGUCUUGUAAGGCCAUCCGCUUUCUUAUGAGAUAAACUCUUACGAUGACAAAUCUCAAAAUUAUAACAUUGAAGCUUCUCAAUUUAACGAGCUAAUUGACCUUCAAUUUCCUUAAAAGAUAAAAACCAUUUAAGAGAAGCAUGAUCAAAAACCGUUCUUAUCAAAAACUUUUGAUCAUACAAUGAUUAAAAAAUUUAACAGACUCUACCACAGUUAACAAUUCCCGACGAGUUGUACAGUAAUUUCUUUCAGUUUUAUUUAAAACACGGCUAAAAUAAGCAAUAAUUUUUUCUUGAUUUUGCUGAAUUUGAGAUAAAACUGCACCGAUAUCAAAAUUCGAAGCAUUAGUAUCAAGAAUAAACUCACCCCGUUCUAAAGGAAAAGAUAAUACUGCAGAGAUAGUCAGAGCUUGCUUCAAACUUUCAAAAGCUUCCUGACAAAGAUGAGACAAAACAAAUUUUGAUUGAUUUUCUGUAAGAACAAAUAAGGGUUUAGCAAUAAUAGAAAAACCUAUAACAAAUUUCCGAUAAUAGGAACAAAAUCCAAGAAAACUACGUAGCUGUUUCUUAGUCCGAGGAAUCAGCCAAUCAGACAGCAAAAAAUUUUUUCCGUAGAAACACUUUUUUCAGAAAUAACAUGACCCAAAUAUCUAACCGAAUUAUUUAAAAGAACACAUUUCUUAGGGUUCAACUUCAAACCGGAAGUACGAAAUUUAAGAAAAACGGUUUUUAAAUGUUCAACCAUUUUUUCAAAAGUUUACCCAAACUAUCACAUCGUCUAAAUAAACCAAACAUAUUUCAUAUAAUAAUUUUUGCAAAAUUCAUUUCAUAAGUCUCUCAAAAGUAGCCGAAGCGUUAUACAAACCCAUUGGUAAAACCGUGAAUUGCCAUAACCCUUUUCCAAUUGAGAAAGCCAUUUUUUUCUUUAUUUUCUGGAUGAAUUUUCACCUGCCAAUAAUCACUUUUUAAAUCUAGAGUCGAAAACCAAGAAUUCCCAGACAAUUGAUCGAUAGUGUCAUCAAUGCGAGGAAUGGGAAAAGAAUAUUUUACUGUGACCGCAUUAAACUUACGAAAAUCUACAUAACAACGAAUAGAAUUAUCCUUUUUCUAAACUGCCGGUGAAACCCAAGGACUCUGAGACUCCUCAAUAACAUCCUUGUACCUCAUCUCCUCAAUAAUUCUAUCCGCCUCAGCACAUAAAUGCAAUGGAAUUCGAUGAGGAAUCUGCUUAAUGGGACGAGAAUCAACUAACUUAAUCCUAUGCUCUAAAAGUUCGCAACUUUCAGCCACAAUUUCAUCUGAGAAAACAUUCUGAAAUUCAAUUAACAUUCCCGCAAAAAUUUCUUUCUGUUGAAAAUUCAAAUUUUCUGAAUCCCAUUCGAAUAACUCCAAUAAAAACGCAGGCAUUUUGUUUUUUUGAAUAAUCCGCUUACAAGCAAAAUCUUUUUGAAACUCCUCCGUACAAGAAAUUCCCAGCGCCGAAUAAAAACAAGACUCUAGAUUUGUCAAAGAUAGAAAAUUUUUCCCCAAAAGACAAUCAUCCUCCAUAUCAAUGACAAACAUAGACAAAUCCUUCAAAACUUUUCCUGACGUUUACUAUAAUCUGACAGAGAAUGGGAACUACUUCACCCGGAGGAUAAACCAAACGAUUACUAAUUGAAGAAAAUAUCUCUGAAGUUUCGACAAAUUAUCUAUUAACAAUGGAAACAUCUGAGCCCGUAUCUAACUUAAAUCUACAAAAUUCUCCAUUCAAAAGUCCGUCGUAACAAAAAGUAUCUCGUUUCAUCCAACUUUCAACAAAAUUAAUCGAGGAUUUGUUUCUUUCUGUCGAAACGGUCCUGUUCCAUUCGACAAAAUUUAGUUUUUUCUUUGUUUUCCAGAAAUAUCAACUAAAGCUGGGCAUUCUGCCCGAAAAUGCGAAUGACUACCACAAUGCCAGCAUUUUCUGUCAUUAUUUUUUUCCGUAAACAAAUCCCUUUUUGAAUAAAAAGAAUUCCCUUCUUUCUUAAAAAUUUUCUCAAAAUUUUCUUUAUUUUUUCUGAAAUCUUUUUUUCUGAAAAACUUGCUUUAAAAUUCUUCUUAUCUUUCGAAUCAAAUUUAAAAUUUUCCUUAAAACGAGGAAAAUUACUUUCCCGAACGUUUUUAAUAAUAAUCUUAACUAUAAUCUUAAUAAUAAUCUUUCUAUUGCUUCCCUUAAAGAAAUAACAUUUUUUAAUGGGAGAGUUUGUUUAACGAAACUAUCUGAUAAUCCGACUAAAAACUGCGCACAAGCAAUCUUUUCCCUUAAUUCAAAAGAGCACUCUGGAUACGCUUUUAAAACUAGACGUUCCAACUCCGAACCGAAAGAAACAAAACCUUCCCCUACCCUCUGCCUUCUGUUAGAAAGUAGGGUAUAAAAAUUUUGGAACGAUUCUAGCUCUCCAAAACGCAAUUCCAAACGCGAACAAAUUUCUUUAAAAUCUAAAUUUUCUUUGGUCCCUUUGGAGGUUUGUGUUAUUCUAAGUGAUCUUUCGCUCGCGGGGAGGGUAUAAUAUAAAUAUGUGACUCGUACCUUUUUAAAUGAACAUUUAUUUUGUGUCACGUUUUUUACAUGUGUGUGUGUGUGUGUGUGCGAGUCUUUUUAAGGUGCGACGGGCCGCGGAAUUUAGCGCGUUUCUAUGCGGGCUCUUCUCCUUUCUCCAGGCCCUCCUUCGCCUGGGAGUCCGGCGGAAGUAUCUUAGUUCUCCUUGUCAGAAUGAAGCCCGUCUCUAAGAGUGAAUCGGUCGUCCUACGUGUGAGUUGCCGUAGGCCAAGGUUGAGAUAGGUGGCCAUGUCAACGGCCGCUGCGGGAAGUGUAUCCGCUGCAGCCUCCACGUGGUGACGGUUCCUGCCGUGGAGGUGGUCGGUGCUGAAGACUUGGGCGACUCCCAGUAAAGCGGCGAGGGGGUCAGUUCCCGCGUGGGUGACGGAGUGUGUGGUCGUGGAGAACGACCCGUCAGUGCCCCUUGUGCCGUCUGCCCUACUAGAGGUUCAGCAAACUAUGCAUCCGUUCUGGUGUCCACCGUUUAACUAUUUCUUCAUGCGCAAGACUCCAUAUGUGACUCGACGUGCUGUAUUAUAUAUAGAACAUUUAUUUUUAUAUAGAAACAUUUAUUUUUUAUUACAGAAUUUUAUUCUGCGUAAAGAAACAAACAACUUUUGUUUAAAAAAUUUUUUCAAACUAAAAUAUUUCUUUCGAAAAUGCUUAUUUUUCGAAAAAAUUUAGGGAUCCGGAACUUUUUGUACACCCUGUAUAUCCGUUUCGUGUCAAAGAGUGUUCUUUAACUCCUUGAGUUUAUUUUUUAUGUUGUUCUAGUCACAGGUUGUGAAGAGUUUGUACUUUAGAGAAUCGAGGAUUAACAAUUUUUAUGAUAAAUACUGAUAUGAUGUGA
Odontomachus brunneus is the source of this 4025-nucleotide long non-coding RNA. RefSeq lists it as uncharacterized. NCBI's taxonomy places the organism in Eukaryota, Metazoa, Arthropoda, Insecta, Hymenoptera, Formicidae. The record is from RefSeq and is a predicted model, not a curated record. The transcript has 2 exons.